CGGGGGGGGGGCGGGGGGGUGGGGGGGAGCGCCGCUGCCUCCCCUCUGCCUUCCCUCUCCCUGCACCUCCCUCUCUCCUUCCCUUCCCCUCCCCUCCCCUCCCCGGGGAAGCGAUGCUCACGCAGAGGAAUGGGGAUGAGCCCCCCAGGUUCCACUCCACGCACCUGUCCCCCCCCGGUCCUGCCCUCCCGUCAUCCCCCAUGCAGACCCUCCUUUGCGGAAAAUAAAGUUGAGUUUUCCCGUCGGGAUGGAGCCUCUUUGCCAGCCCCCCCUUCUCUUCCCGUACCUCUCCCUUGACAGAGUGUGCCGUCGGUGUGCCCCCCCCUCCCCCGCCCCCCCCCCCCCUCCCGCAACUCCCCAUUACUAUUUCUCAGUCCCUUUCUAUCAGCGUGACAACCGCUGGGGGAAAGGCAGUCGGGAGCGGUGAUUAAAAUGGACACAAAUCCACUAAAGACUUCCAGCUCUGUGGUGGCGUUUGAAACCUCAUUAUUUUUGCGGACCUGCAGCGAAUAUCCAGGACGUGGCCGGCUGCGGGACAGCGGUGCGGGGCUGCGGGGCUCCGAGCACCCCCGGGCUCGGAGGGAGCCGGGAGCCGCCCAUCCACCCCCGUCCCAUCGGGAGAACCCGCAGUCGGGCUCCGUGCCGGUACAGCCGCCUCCGAGUUUCGGAAGCCAACCGCAGCUCGGUGUGAAACCAUCCCGGCUCCGCGGCUCUUCCCCGGGUCCGGCGUGGAGCCGUCUUUACUCAAUUCCCUCAGGCAGAAAAAUGCCUGCAGCUAUUAUCCAGCCCAUCCGCCGGAAAAGAGAGGCUACGGCAAAGCCGCGACCCUUAUUUUCAAACGACAAACUGACCAACAAAUCUUGAAUAAAUAUUUCUUGAAGCUGCUCCUCCAUAGAUAACAAAAAUCUCCAUUUGUCACCUAAACGCGGGCAUUCCGGUGUCAGUGCUUUUUUACCAGUACACCGUAGGAGUGUUGCACUGAUUUCCAACCCAGACGCAGCUGCCACGAUACGGUUCCGAAGCUCAGAAGUCAGAACAGAACUGAUCUUAAAUCAACAGGUUUUCUCGGCUGCAGCAGUUUUAUUAAGUCUAAAAAUGAAGUCCAGUGACUAUCCUAUAAUUGCUGUUAAAUGCAGAUACCCCCUCCAACUGCGCUGCCAUCAGAAAUCCCAGCAAGCCAUUUGUAUUUCUUCCUGUACUUCAAACAUUAAUAUCAUUCAUACGGGAAGGGGAACCAUUACUGCACGAAUGCGAAUGAUAGACCUGGAAAUUGACCCUGAAAUAACAUGGGAAAUGUAAACGAAGACGAAUAUGGUUCUACCGUUUAAAAAUGAAAUGGGACUCGUGCUGUAGAACCGAAAUACAGAGAUGGUUAAAAUUGUGUCUUCCAUUGGACAACACAGGAUCUCAUUCCCGUGACUCUGGUAGAACUAUGCCUGAUCUGCACUGAAGCAAAAUCAGCGAAAGCUGUAACAUAAAGGCCAUAGACUACAAAAAUCAACAGGUGAAACCUAAUGGUAUCACUUUACAGAACUCAGCGUUCAGAGUUUGCACUGAUUUUCUCAUCUGAUUCCAUUUUAGAGCAGUAUGCAGUCAUCUGAUCGUUCUCUCUCUUUUUUUCACCUUUUCUUGCAUCUUAUGCUCGUCCUCUUGCUCUGAACACAAUCUCAAGCCUGAACCACGCUGUUCAGGUGCACAAAGCACCUUGCACGACCAAGGUGCAGAUUCAGUUUUUAAGUGUCUUGUGAGUAGAAAAUAUGGGGCUGGGAUCAGGUCAUCAUAGAAUCAUUAAGGUUGGAAAAAACCACUGAGAUCACAUAGUCUAGCCAUCAAUCCAUCCCACUGCAAUGUGAGGAAAUCAUUGAAUUUGAAGCUAGUGCUAUAAAACGGAGCUUUAUCCAACAUCAGGCUUUGGGGCUUAUUGGAGAGGCUGGGAAAACUCCUUACUGGCAAAUGAAGCAUUGGGACACUUCGUCAUCGCUGUCACUCACGGGUCCACCAGGACGUGUUACAGCUUUAAGAAGUCAGUUUUUGUCUGGGCAUCCAAGCACGUGUACCAAAAGGUUUCAUUUUUACUGUGACGGUAUAAAAUUUUUGCACAUAUUUUAUAUGUGUUUGCCUUUAUUUAUUUGUAUUUACUGGGGGAGAUGACAGCAUGUCAUCCAUUUGAUGCAUUAGCUGUAUAUGCUAAUAUACAUAUGUUAUAGGUGUGUGUAUACAUAUACACCCAUUUCCACGUUCUGUUGACUUUAUAGGUGUUUCAGUGCUGCAGAAGUGAAUGUCACCACAGUGAGAUGACUGCAAUGAGGUCUUGCUGAGGCAGUGAUUGCUGUGAGGUUAUUUGAACCUGUCAGCUCUUUUUCCAGUGAAGAGGAUUAAUUUUUGCUGGCCACCCCAGCUGUACCACCAGAACUGCCCUGAUUCACCCAGUGGGAGGAACUGCCUCUCUGUUACAGUAGGUCCAGCUGUGUUGUCAAUUCGUUGCCUCAAGCUUCACUCACGUGUCCCAGUGCCCUGAUUGCUCCCACUGCAGGAAUGCUGGUCCUGUUACUGAGAUGGAUGUUUUGUUUCCCUUGUGAAGAAACCUGGAGGUGUUGGUUUGCUCCUGAGCCCUCUGCUUGCAGGCAACACUGACACGAGACAAUCUGAACCAGGAGCCAUGGACUCGUUCCUUUCUGCACGCCAUAAAAGCAGCACGUGUGCAUCGAAUCAACUGAAUACUACCAAUGACUAAGAAACAGCCUGAGGUUUUUGGCUAAGGGUAUUAGAAUUCAGUAUUUGUAGGGAUCCAGGACAGCUAGAGAUAGAACUCUCAGUGAAAAUUACGGAAACUGUGCAUCUAAAUCCUUGGAUUUAGGUCAUCUCAAGCUGAAGAUUUGAGACAUCCAAUUUAAACCCCUCGAACCUCUGCUGAACCAUGGAUGCUCCAGGCAACACAAUACCCAGGAAUGCCACUGAGGAAACACAAGUAAAAACUUGCUAAUUAUUUUAAAGGAGAGACAGAGAGAUAACAAAUAUGCUAAGUUUUUUUUUUAUUGCUAUCUACCACUACUACAGUAACUGAGAUGGGAAAGUGGGAAAUAAUGCUCAGAAUAUCUGAGAAAUGUUGCUUAGCUUGAAAGUAUCUCUGCUACUGAUGUGAUGACUGUCUAGUGGGGUUGUGGUUGCUGGGAAUUCACACACUGAUUUUAUAGAGAGAUAAAAGAGUGGAGUUUAUAUGGAAUAAACCCCUUUUGAAUAAAACAAUCUGCAUAAAUGCUUUAAGAAAGCCUAUAAUUAUGAUAAAAAUGUUGCUCAGAGUUAAAAUUAUGAAGCAAUCAAAAUUUAUAAACAGUCACUCAUCGACUUUUAAUCAUACUUUCUCAUAUACAAACUGUAGAAAACAUAUAGUAGCAAUAUGUAACAAUACACAUUUAUUUUCAGUAAUUUAGGGUCUUACCCCAUAUUGUUUAGACAGACAAAGCUCGGCUUGUCAAGCUCUGUAGGAUUACCCUUAAAUGUAAAAAAAAACACAUGGAGGCCAGUAGUUUUAUAUACAUACGCUCAGCGGAAGCCUUAUCCCUGAACAGCUGAACACCUCGGAUCAGUGCUGUGCACCCUUUGAGCUAGGCCCAAAGCUUUCUGUGGUCAUAUUCACAUCAAUUGCCUCUGUACCAGGACCUCUUCUCCCCCUGCUUUCUUUGGAGGUACUUGCUCAUGGAUGUGGAUGUGACCCACAUCUUCCCUGAAAUUCCCUUGUAGACAUUGCUCUUCAUUUCUAACUCAUUAAUAAGAAUGGUUGAAUUAUAUCCAUCAUGUAGGACUUGGGUGCCAAGAGAUAUUCAAAGGAAGGAAUAUUCGUAGUGGGAUCCCUGCCAACUUGAAUGGUAGCCUACCAUAUCUAUAAGCUCCAUUGUUUCCUCUCAGCUGAGCUAUCUGAACAUAUUCAGGAUGCAGUUUGAUAUGUGUUCUGCAGUCUCUGUUUCAUGAGAAAUGUCACCACCGACGGGUCAAAUCAAUGAAAUACGUUCUUCAAACUUAUAUAUGUAUAUGCAUAUUAAAUAAUGUAUUUCUAGAUUCGUCUCUGAAACAUAAUAGCAUGUAAAAUCUUGCGCCUAAAUUCCUAUAAAAUAAGGUAUAUUGAAUUCAAUAACAGAGCCCUUAUUGAUAGGCUAACUGUUCAACUCUCCUUAAUGAUCAAAAUAACCUUUUUCUGUUAAAACGUUAAUUCAAAUACCACUUCUGAUUAGCCAUAUUAAUACGGAAAAAGACACUGACUUUCUCAUGGAGGACCAAAUAAUGCCCAUAAAUGCAUUAUCUCAAGAGGGGAGACCCUCACACGACUUCGUAUUGAUUCCAGUUACUUUCAGGUCCUUGGGAUCUUGUCUGGGUCUCUCUGACCAAAUGUCUGAACCAAAAGCCUCAGGCAGGGUAGGAGGCAAGCAGGACUGGAGGAGUUUUCGUCUGCAGACUGUGGGGUAGGAUCUAGGAGAUGCACAUCCUUUUAGCUUGUGGAGAAAAAUCACCAUUUUGCAUCUCUUAGAAAGAAAUGGGCUGCAUUUUGUAUCAGUUCUACAUGCUUGAAUAUGAACCAUGUUUUGGGAUUGAGAAAGUGAAACCUCCAGAGAGUUUUUCUCCUUUUUACAGCCCCUUUUUCUCACUUCGGGUGUAUGACUACAGAAGAACUGGGUAGAAAUUAUCUCUGUGAUUAAUACAACACUCCAUUUAAUAGACUUCCUCGCUAUGAACUCUAUAUUUAGCAGUCUAUAAUCAGUGAAUAUAAAUAUAAAACCUUACCUUGUAUCUACACAUGAGCCUAAAAAUGUAGCUGUGUUUCCCAAAAUGGCUGAGAUAGAUGAGCGUGUCAUGAGUAAUCUGUAUAGGAUGGAGGGCAAAAACGCUCCAACAAAAUCUAUACAAACCUAAAGCAUGAAACCAAGCACUGCAUAUGCUUACACUGAAAUUAUACCAGAAAUUGGGAGCAUGAACUACCUAACUAGGCCUCUGUCUGUUUUACAAACCAUGUUUGUUUAAAAAAGUCUAGAUCAUAAUUGCAAAUUCAAAUUUCUUCCCCAUUCUUACAUCGACAUUUGUGUUUUUCUCCUAAUGUUUCCCACGUGUAAAUGCAGCAGCUUCCUAGCCCUCUUGUUAUGUACUGCAUUCAGCGUAACAGUUUAGCAAAUUCUCCAAUUGUGUUGGUGUUAGCUUUCUCAGACAUGGAAAGCAAUUUGAUGUGUCCUUUUAACGAGUCAUUUUCAUGCAUGGAGGAAAACAGUGGUUGGGGAAGUUAUUAAAGCUUUCUACUCAUUGAUUUUAAGACUCACUACUGAAUUUAUGUUGCUUAAAAGCCAGCUUGUUUUGCUUUCUUCUAAACCUGAAGUUUGAAGAACUCCAGCUUCCUUUUACUUCUUUGUAGGGGCUGCAGUUUUGUCACUGACUGCCACAGAACUGUGACAGUGAAAUCAAAAAUACUGCUUUGAAGUUUUUAGUAUUUUGGUUGUUAGUGAUAACUGUCUAACGGGAAGAGAAUGCAAAGCUGCCCAUGAAUGGCAAGUCAGACCAAUGGGAAAAGGAGCUGUUCUCUUCAUUUGUAAGAGACAUUGACUCUAAAGUGCAAUGGUGUUGAUACAAAUGCCACCUUUUUUUUUAAUUAUCUUUAAAAAAAUUUUUUUUAACUAUCCUUCUGCUGCUCAUUUUUGUGAUGUAUGUAGUGAACUCACCUUGGUUGGAUACUGAGAUGGACGCAAAGUAGUAUGACUGAGAAAACUAAUUUUAAUGUAUGGCUUCAGAGGAAAAAGGAACUUGGGGCCAAACAAAAUAUGAUAUAAACAGAUCUGCAAGGUCUCCUAUGCUGGCCACUGAAGUCCUGCCAGUAGUCCUCAUAUCCCUGUCUGUGGUCAUAUGUGUUUUUGUACCAGUUUCUUUGGUGGUUUCAUUUCUCUGACAAGGCUUAGAGAGACAAAACAUACUGAGUAUACAAGCAAUAAAAAAGUAGUGCUCAACUUCCUUGCUGGAGUGGAUCACAUGAACAAUACCACAAAAUAGGGCAUAGGUGCACUCUCUUAGCCCUUUGUUCUGGAGGGACAACCCAGACAUGCCCUAAGUCCGUGCUGGGGGCAGACCAAAGUGCUCACCAUCUUGUCCCAGUAUUCAGGUUUUCACCAGGUGCACCAGAAAAAAACCUGUGGAACUUAGGCCAGGGGGUUCACUGAUCUAAACCAUCUGAACUUACAGCUAUUGGCUGUGCUGCUGAGUGUGUACAUCUAAUGUAAAUGCAUAAUCAUAGAAUCAUAGAAUUGUCUGAGCUGGAGAAGACCUUUAAAAGUCAUCUAGACCAAUUCCCCUGCAAUGAAUAGGGACAUGUACAGCCUAAUCACACUGCUCAAAGCCCCAUCCAGCCUGACCUUAAAUGUCUUUAGGGUCAGAGAAUCCAUAAUCUCUCUGGGCAACUUGUGCCAGUGCCUCACCACCCUUGUCAUAAAACACUUUUUCCUUAUAUCCAAUCUAAAUCUCCCUUCUUUUAGUUUGAAACCAUUUCCCCAUGUCCUGUCACAACCGACUCCUCUAAAGAGUCUGUCUCCUUCUUUCUUAGCCUUCCUUUAGAUUCUGAAAGGCCGCUCUCAGGUCACCUGGGAGCCUUCUCUUCUCCAGGCUGAACAACCCUUGAUCUCAGCAGGUCCUCACAUGGGAGGCGUUCCAUCUCUUGGAUCAUUUUUGUGGCACUCCUCUGCAUGUGCUUCAACAGGUCCACAUUUCUCCUGUACUGAGGACUUCACUUCAGACACCCACAUUGGUGGAAGAAUGUUCGGCAAAAAAUUAGUUUAAAACAGAGCGUCCCCAACACAAUGCUACAAUGAAAGCUUUUCUGGAUUGGCACUCAUCUGCUGUGCUCGCAGUAAGUUGUGCAUAGGUACAACUCAUUUUUACAAAUCUGUAUUUCAAAAGCAAAUUUUUGGGGGAUAAGGGACUGGCAGAAGGCAAAACCUAUAGGACUUCUUAUAUGAGUCCAUCAGUCCACUCAAAAGAAAAAAUGUAGCUUAAAUUCUUUAUUUUUUUUUAUCCUAAAGAAGAGUCUUCUAAAAGCACUGAUGUCUCAUAAUUUAGUGGAAAUGCAGAUGAAAUUAGUGGCUGAAAAUUCUGAAAUAUCAUUUAUAGAGUGCAGGCCUAAGAAUAUGUUUUCCAGAAUACAUAAAUAAAAUGCCAAUUACUUACUAAAAAUACUAAUUCAAUUAAAAGUUUUAGGAUUCUUCUUUUUUACAUUAGCAAAAUAACAUUGCCUGUACUUAGUGUCUGUAGAGUAGAACGACACAGGUCAUUAUGAAAUCUUAACAGUCUUACCACAUAGCGAACCCUCUGCAGUACAUGCUGAACUACUUAAAACAGCCAUGAAUUGUCCAAACAGAAUAAUUUGAUACUGGCUGUUUUCCACAUUUUAAUUAGCAAGAACAGACGGCUCUUGCAUAAUCCCAUUUAGUCUCUGUGCUUGGUACCUCCCGAAUAGCGCAGUGAUUAAGUUCAUACCUUCAUGUGGCUAAAUGCAUUAGCUGAAAGCAAACCACUAAGAUUCACUUUCUGACACAGACGUAAUGCAAGUGCAUUUCUUCCCACUGACUUAAGAGAGAAAAGACUCUAUUAACUUAUAGCCUGUUGGUCGCAAAGAUGCCCGGAGGUAUUUUGUAUAAAUGCAUAUUCAUGUCUCAUGCGAGCUUUUCCUCCCAGGCAGUUUCUUUUGUAACAGAGAUCAGAGUGCCCCCAUUACACAAUCACCGCUCUCAACACAUCCAGCCUAAUCACGCGAUUGAUCGCACUAAGUCAAAAUAUGGGAAUGUUCUGAACAGUUUUUUGCAGCUAACCCUUGCCGUGCAAUGGGCCGUGUGGCCAUGUAAAGGACAAAUCUAGGAAAGGGAACAUGAGGCUGCAGCCCACCUGCACACCAUGUGGGGUCCAGAGGCACAAUGAGACUAUCAGCAUCUUUCCUCCCCGUCACCGCUGCUGCGUUUGACUCUUACCACGAAACAGUAAGUUCUAUUAAUUACAGUGGAUAGCAAUUCUAAGUGGUUACAGAAGAUAUUGAGAGUUUUACUAUCCCAGCUCAGUUGCUUUACCUUCAAACAAACAAAAAAGAAAAGCAAAAAAACCAAAACCAAAAACAGACCCUACCAAACCACAAAACCAGCCAACCAACAACAAAACUAAAAAGAAAUGCAAACACAACAAAACUAACUGUGGUACAUUUUGUCUCUCCUGCAAUAUAUUUUGCUGUGAAAGUCUAGCUCAUACAUUGUAUAGCUUUUUGUGCAUUUUAAUAACAUUUUAACAAAUUUAAAGUAAGGAUAUAUAUGUCCAUUUGUUGUAAUGCAUUGGAUGAUAGAACAUAUGGAUCUCAGUGAGAUGUGUACACAUGUUUUUCUAAGAAAAUGGUAGUGGACAGCUGGUGUAAAAUGGCCAAUUUGCCUCAAAGUCAGAGGGAUGACUUCUAUGACUGGCAAAGUUACAAGAAGCAUGAUUAACAUAUUUCCUCAUUGGGAAAUACAAGUCUUGAUUUCCCAGUGAUAAAUACCAAUUCAUUUUUGCAUAGAUUUAUUUUUGUGGAAUAUAAAGGGUUCUGGCAUCAUCUCUCCAGGUGGGUUUCACUGUAUGAAAACUCCAAAUACUGGCACUGGGACUCAUCCUUGUUGCUGGUAUGAUUCUGUGUUCUUGUCAUAAGAAAUAAUAGCCUCACAGUUGAGGCCUAGGUGGAUGGGACUAGGUGGAGGCCUUCAUCUUGUCCUCAAGGCAUUGUCUCGACAAUAGUUAUCAUCUUUGUUUGUACCUCUAAAAUGUUGCUGCUGCCAUUUUCACCAAGUCUGGCUUUUGCUCAGGAUGCAGAGAGAAACACAGUUUGAGCCAAAGAAAAUGUGGGCAGAACCUGAGAUAGGUGUGACAGAAAAUGAAAAAAAAUCUCCCAAAUCCUAAAACAAAUGUAAUGGUCCUGAUUUACCAAUCCUUUCUCCUGGUGAAUACUGAAGAGUCUUCAAAGACAAAAAACAACUGGAUGAGUUUGUGAUAGGGAGUCAAUUAGAAUACAUACAGAUUUAAGCUAAUGCUGCCUUGAAGUGAAGGUGGAAAGAAGUACUUUACGUAGUCCAUGACUCCAGGGAAAGCUUUUAACUUCUUCUUCUUCUUUUUUUUUUUCUUGUCUUCACGAAUUUCUGUUUAUGUGCUUUAUUUCAGGUAAACUCCAUGCAGAAACGUACAAAGAUGCCCCCUUUUCCAUCUUCCAAUUACAAGAAGAAAAACAUGUGCAAGGAAGUUAGAAUCCUUAUGAUGCACGUUGUGUUUGCUAAUGAUUUAUUUUUUAAUGUUUAUUUGAAGUAAAGACAUCAUGAAUAUAAAUGAUAAGGCUCUUCUCAUACUUUUAUAAAAAGUAAAAGUAAAAUGCUUCUGACUCCUCCAAGCAGCCACAAGUGGCCAAUUCAGGAUGCUUGAUAUCCAGAAUAGAGAAAGGCGUCUUAUUUGAAAUCAGGCCAUUCUUAACCUCCACUUCUACAUCCUCCAGUACGUACAAUCCUCUCCUGGUUUAUGUGUUAAGCUCUGCGUCACACUCUGCAGACAUGGGUGUGUGUGGAGAAUCCUUAGGAGUCCCUUGCAGUAAAUGCCCAUUUUCUGUCAGGCUGGCUUGGAAAGAGGUUAAAAGGUUCUCUCAUGAGGAUCAGUGGCACAUUCUAGAGAACUAUAGAGAACACAGCUCAGGUAAUCAAUAGAAUAAAUUUAAGCGUGUUUGGUUUGUUGCAUGGACUCAGAUAAUCUUGCAAACAUGUUUUAAAGUUAACUACUGCAAUUGUCGUCUAAACAUAUUAAAGGGACGUUUUCCUCCUAGUCUUUUGUGAAGUCAUUAUAGCAUCCAAACUUUGCUAUAAUAUUGUUGACAUUAAAGUGAGGUGUAAUAAAUAGAAAAGGAUAAUUGCCAGAAGGCCAGUAAGGAUAAAAGGAAGCAGCUGACCUUAAUUUAACAGUAGUACUAUAAGCAAGGCUGGAAAGGAAAGAGUUGCCAAAGAAUGGCCACUAAAAUGACCUGCAUUGUAGGAACUAUAAAAAUGAUAUGCCACUUUCUGAUUUUCAAAUCAUGAAUAGCAAAUACAGGUGGCUUUGUGUUUGAGAAGACAUACAGAUGAACUGAAUGACAUUUACCUCGACAAAUGUCCACAUUAAAGUCAGUGGAGUUUUUUCCAAGGGUACAAUAAACUCUCUUCCUAAAGUACAUGUGUAAAAUGUAGUUCUCUAGAACUACAUCUAUUUUUCUUCACUGGAUAUGUAGAGUCCUGGAG
This is a long non-coding RNA of Gallus gallus (chicken), 10286 nucleotides long. The record is from Ensembl. Lineage: Eukaryota; Metazoa; Chordata; Aves; Galliformes; Phasianidae.